Molecule: unclassified non-coding RNA, 307 nt
Filed under: Enterococcus durans
Lineage: Bacteria; Bacillati; Bacillota; Bacilli; Lactobacillales; Enterococcaceae
Description: partial 16S-23S ribosomal RNA intergenic spacer
Source: RNAcentral
CUAAGGAAUAUUACGGAGACUACACUGGUUGUUUUAUACUUUGUUCAGUUUUGAGAGGUCUACUCAAUGAUUGAAGAGUCAGGUUAUGACUUUGAUAUUAGAGGAUACUCUCAAGAGAAUACUUUGUUCAUUGAAAACUGGAUAUUUGAAGUAAAUUAAGUAAUACAAACCGAGAACACCGCGUUGAAUUUGAAGGCUAAACACUUGUUUAGCUGGAUAGAGUUUUUUAAUAAGUUCAAUUGCUUAUUUUCUUGAUCGGACUUCUAUCGCUAGAAGAAAGAUCAAAACCCAACCGCAAGGUUGAUAA